CUCAAAGAUUAAGCCAUGCAUGUCUAAGCACAUGCCUUAAUACGGUGAAGCCGCGAAUAGCUCAUUACAACAGCCAUCGUUUACUAGAAAAUCGUUGUCCUACUUGGAUAACUGUGGCAAUUCUAGAGCUAAUACAUGCAAAUAAGCUCAUCGCCGCGAGGCUUGAGCGCAUUUAUUAGAAUAAAAACCAAUCGGGUCUAAACAGCCCGCUCUUUGGUGAAUCUGAAUAACUUUGCUGAUCGCAGGUCCUAGUACCAGCGACGUAUCUUUCAAGUGUCUGCCUUAUCAACUUUCGAUGGUAGGCUAUACGCCUACCAUGGUAGUAACGGGUAACGGAGAAUAAGGGUUCGACUCCGGAGAGGGAGCCUGAGAAACGGCUACCACAUCCAAGGAAGGCAGCAGGCGCGCAAAUUACCCACUUCCAGAACGGAGAGGUAGUGACGAAAAAUAACGAGACAGUCCUCUUCGAGGUCUGUCAUCGGAAUGGGUACAAUUUAAAUCCUUUAACGAGGAUCUAUUGGAGGGCAAGUCUGGUGCCAGCAGCCGCGGUAAUUCCAGCUCCAAUAGCGUAUAUUAAAGUUGUUGCGGUUAAAACGCUCGUAGUUGGAUCUGCGGCCUGAGAGAACGGUCCCCCGAAAGGGCGGUAGCCGUUACUCUCGGCCUAAAUAUUCAGUCCACUCUAUAGUGCCCUUAACCGGGUGCUUAGAGUGACUGGAACGUUUACUUUGAAAAAAUUAGAGUGCUCAAAGCAGGCGAAUUCGCCUGAAUAAGGUGCAUGGAAUAAUGGAAUAGGACCUCGGUUCUAUUUUGUUGGUUUUCGGAGCCUGAGGUAAUGAUUAAGAGGAACAGACGGGGGCAUUCGUAUUCCGGCGCUAGAGGUGAAAUUCUUGGACCGCCGGAAGACGGACGACUGCGAAAGCAUUUGCCAAGAAUGUUUUCAUUAAUCGAGAACGAAAGUUAGAGGUUCGAAGGCGAUCAGAUACCGCCCUAGUUCUGACCGUAAA
Molecule: ribosomal RNA, 1004 nt
Filed under: Longidorus cheni
Lineage: Eukaryota; Metazoa; Nematoda; Enoplea; Dorylaimida; Longidoridae
Description: SSU rRNA
Rfam family: Eukaryotic small subunit ribosomal RNA
Source: RNAcentral